This 497-nucleotide ribosomal RNA is filed under the name uncultured bacterium. Its description in RNAcentral is "partial 16S ribosomal RNA". It matches the Rfam family "Bacterial small subunit ribosomal RNA", at positions 28 to 507 of the family's 1533-position model. The record is from RNAcentral.
GACGAACGCUGGCGGCGUGCCUAAUACAUGCAAGUUGAGCGCUGAAGGUUGGUACUUGUACCGACUGGAUGAGCAGCGAACGGGUGAGUAACGCGUGGGGAAUCUGCCUUUGAGCGGGGGACAACAUUUGGAAACGAAUGCUAAUACCGCAUAAAAACUUUAAACACAAGUUUUAAGUUUGAAAGAUGCAAUUGCAUCACUCAAAGAUGAUCCCGCGUUGUAUUAGCUAGUUGGUGAGGUAAAGGCUCACCAAGGCGAUGAUACAUAGCCGACCUGAGAGGGUGAUCGGCCGCAUUGGGACUGAGACACGGCCCAAACUCCUACGGGAGGCAGCAGUAGGGAAUCUUCGGCAAUGGACGAAAGUCUGACCGAGCAACGCCGCGUGAGUGAAGAAGGUUUUCGGAUCGUAAAACUCUGUUGGUAGAGAAGAACGUUGGUGAGAGUGGAAAGCUCAUCAAGUGACGGUAACUACCCAGAAAGGGACGGCUAACUACGUG